Molecule: ribosomal RNA, 253 nt
Filed under: uncultured bacterium
Lineage: Bacteria
Description: partial 16S ribosomal RNA
Rfam family: Bacterial small subunit ribosomal RNA
Source: RNAcentral
UACGUAGGGACCAAGCGUUGUUCGGAUUUAUUGGGCGUAAAGGGCGCGUAGGCGGCCACGCACGUCCGUUGUGAAAUCGCCCGGCUCAACUGGGCGGGGUCGGCGGAUACGGCGUGGCUGGAGCAAGCUAGGGGGCAAUGGAAUUCCCGGUGUAGUGGUGGAAUGCGUAGAUAUCGGGAGGAACACCAGUGGCGAAGGCGGUUGCCUGGAGCUUUGCUGACGCUGAGGCGCGAAAGCGUGGGGAGCGAUCCGG